RNAcentral lists this long non-coding RNA (7011 nucleotides) under Daucus carota (carrot). RNAcentral describes it as "long non-coding RNA (DCAR_LNC001243)". The record is from RNAcentral. Lineage: Eukaryota; Viridiplantae; Streptophyta; Magnoliopsida; Apiales; Apiaceae.
AGUCAAAACUCACAUAGAUUUGAUGUUCUUUACCUUUACUUUCUGUUAUGAAUAGUUGGCUUUUCAAACCUUUUGAACAACAAGUCUAUGCAGAAUGCAGUGCUUUGCAUUUGAAUUAAUUCCAACAUGCUUUAUUAUCUUCUUAUUAUAUAGGUGCUGAACUUUUGAAGCGCAGAUAAUGUGUUAUAAGUUUGAGAAAUUGUAUACUGUCUUUUUAUUUAUUUCUGUUAUGAAUUUUAUAGUUAACUAUGAUUAGGCUUUGUUAUCUACUGGUAAAAGGAACGAUCCUACUUUAGGUUCUCGUCUAAUUUUUGUCUUAUAUUCGGAAAAAUCUUGUAAUGGAUGACUCUUACCUAAAAAAGAUCUUUAAAAGUAAUGCAUUCCACGAAUGACAAAGUACUCUGUUUUAAAGAAAAAAGUCUGAACUUUAAAGAUAAAAUAUAUCUUAAUGGGCAUGUUCAAUUUGGCUUUGUUCUGAGUUCUACAUUUCCCUAUUUCUUUGAAGGAUUCCUGCACCAACAAAAAAACAAGGAAGGAAACGAAAACAGAUCUGCAGCAGAUCAGGUGACAGAGUUUGGGGAGCAUGGGAUAGUCUUCCUAAUGAACUCCUCCUUUUAAUUCUAAUGAAAUUGAAUAUUAUCGACUACCUUGCCUUCAGUGGUGUGUGUAGAUCCUGGAGGUCAGCGGCUACCGAUAUUCGCAAAAGUUUUAUGGAGCGUCUGCAACCCUUAGUUUUUGCACGAUCAAGAUAUGCAAAAAAAGCUUGCGUUCUAUAUAAUAUUUUUGACUCGCAAAAUUGCAAAUCAAUGCUGCCGAGUAUGCCUCGCAAGUACUUAUGGGGUUUAUCAAGUGGUUACUUGAUCACAUACGACAAGAACAUGGGGUUUUGGCUUGUGAACUUAAUGACAAGACAUGAGAUGCACUAUCCUGUCCUGUCCGAAAGUAGCUAUAGGUUCUUUGACUUCACUCCUCGCGCCGUUCUCUUGCGGUUGACUCGGCUUUCAAGAAUUUUCAUGAUUAUUUUCUCUGAGAAGCAUAAUUUUUUACUGAUGUCUGAAAGUGGCUCUAGUAGUUGGCAGGAAUAUCUUUUACCAAACACCAGUGCUGGGAUUGCGGAUGUAAAGGUUUUGGAUGGCAAAAUCUUUGUUCUAACCUGUGAUGCACAUUUUGGAGAAUUUAAUCCGAGGGCAGAUCCUGUUGUGAAGCUCUACAACUGUAACAUCCCUAUUCAACUUCCAUCACGUUCGAUUUUGCAGUUAGUGACUUCAGACAACAAGAUCUACAUGGUUAUAUCUCAAUAUCCUUGUCCAUGUGUAACUUUGUUGGUCCAAUAUCUUUUCUUGUACGAACUUGACUACAGUAUGGAAUUUGCAAAACAGAUUCAUGACUUGGGUUCAAAAUCUUUGUUCCUGAGUGUAUAUAAUUCUGCCCUGGUUGACACAACUGGUUGGGGAGCGGGCAACUGUGUAUGUUUUCUUCAAAAUACAAUCGGAAAAUGUUCAUUCUUUCACUUGGAUGGACGCAGGCUAGCAACGAUUCCUGCUGUUUGGGAUUGUUAUGUGAGACUAUAUUUCUGGGUUUUUCCCGGUGAAAGUUGGGACAUCAGUUGUGUUGGUGAUGAAUUUGGCCCUUGAUCAUUUUUACUUCUGACAUCUGUUUUCCUUUUCCUGGCCAAAUCUUUGGGUGUAGUUUCAUCUUACAUUCAGAAUAUUUGUAUUCUUUCAGUUUCAUGGAUUUAUUCACUCAGACUAAAUAGUUAUGAUGUGAUUUUUAUUAUGCAAGCCAAACUAUCAUAGUUUAUAAAUUUUUUAUUCAAGAGAAUUGACUUUUUAGUAUAAACCUCUGUUAUUUUUAUACAAGUUGUGUUCAGUAGAAUUGGAAGAAGAUAAAAUUUUAGUGUGAUGUUGUAUUAAAGAAUAAUUGCUGACUGUGAUUCUUGUUAUGUUGCGGAUUCAAGUACUAUAAUAUAAUAUAAAAUAAGAGUAAAGUGCACUAUAUAUGCUCCGGCUUUCCUCAAAACACUAUUUAUAAUACUGUAGUUCAAAAUCGAGCACUUACAAUAUCAAUUUUCGUAUUUCAUUACACUUUGUUGUAUUAUGUUAAUUUGGAUUAACUCCGUUAGUAAUUUAAGGAGUAAACUCCCUUAAUAAUUUAAGGAGUAAAGUGCACUUUGUGUAUUCGCACUUUACUCAAAAACAUCACUUGCAAUACUCUAGUUGAUAAUUUACGGUAAAGUGGGAGUACACAAAAUACAGUUUAGGUAAAGUGCGAGUACACAAAGUGCACUUUACUCUCUAAAUUAUCAACGGAAUUAACCCAAAUUAACGGAAUGCAACAAAAUAUAAUGAAAUACGAAAAUUGAUAUUGCAAGUGCUCGAUUUUGAAUUAUAGUACUGCAAGUGGUAUCUUGAGUAAAGUAGGAGUACACAAAGUGCACUUUACUCAUAAAAUAAUAAAUAAAUAAGAAUUGAAUAAUCGUAGUUUUGAAACUUUCUUCCAAUAUAUUUGAAAUUAAUUCAAACUUUCUUCCAAUAAUUUUUGAAUCAAAAAAGAUAAUUUUAAAAUUUUCUUCCAAUAUAUCGAUAAAAAAUUAAUUUUUUAAUUUUAAUAUUUAUAAUUGAAAAGUUUGAGUAAACUAGAAAAAUGUCUCAGGGUUGAAGGUAGCCUGGACGGAAAUUAACAUCUCGGUUCCCAUAUAAGAUUAUAUGUGUGUGUUUGGGGUUCUCAAAUCUCAGGUGGAGAAGAUGAAAAGUGUCGUUCCUUGCCACGAUCUGACGUCGUUUUCUAAUGGGUAACUUGUUUCUCCGUUUCAUAUAUAAGUUGUUUAAUUUUCUUUCCCUUCUAUGCAAAUUAUAAGUAUAGAUGUCGAUGUUUGUUUGAUUAAGUGUGGUCCAUCAGGUGUUAGAUGGACUAUGCAAGCACAAAACCCAUGACACAACUCUGUGCUUGGAAUGCGCAAGCCGGUGAAUCGCCCAACGAAAUCCGACAAUCUCAACCAUGCCAAAAUCCAACCAUUUAAUUAAGCUUCAUGAGCUACUGGGCUUAUGGUGAGAAUUGAUGAGAGAGGUGGACUCUGGAUAAGGGGACGGGUCAGCAGGAUUGCACCAUGUCAUGACACAUGUUUGUAUGGCAGUACCCUAUUAUCGAUUAUUGACGGGUUGGACCAAGAUCGCUCGGCUCAGGUCUUUGCUAUCUAGAUUUAGGUGAGUGCAUCACUAGUCAUUAUAAUAUGCAUUUCUAUAGAAGGUCGUGGUGAUCAUUUUAGGGUACAGGCUUAGUUUUCGUAGAAUGGAAAGUUUGAGAACUCAGAACUACGAAAAUGUCCCUCCUUCAAACCUAAAGUUGAAGAGCAGAGCAAAUUUAAAAGCCCUCCUUUUUGCGUGCUUAAUGUUGAAGCACAAAAAAGCGAUAAAAAGGCGCUUUGCGUAAAUGGGUGUUUUUCUAGAUCUGGACAUAAUUUUAAAAUGUCAGUCAAUGUUUUCUUUUUUAUGGAUUGUUUUAGAGCCAAGCACAUUAUAGAUUCUAGACUUUUAGUCAAAAACACACUCUGAAACAUCUAGUCGACUUAAUCAACCUCUACAAAUCCUCAACAAAGCACUAGGAACUCCCAAAGAGUACAAAUCUAUCGCUGCUGAUUCAAUUUUAUAUGAGUUUUUUAUGUACAUUUUAUGCUCAAUGAUAGGGUUACGGCUGAGUUGCGUGUUCUAAGGCUAUUUGGUGAUCCCCUUAAAUUUCUCCAUGAAAUCUUACCAAUGCAAAAAUUAUGAUCGUGGCAGAUGACAAUUUAAGGGCGGUCAAUGUGCAGAGAGAGGUAUGAAACCUUCUUAAUAUUUUAUAUUUCUUUUUAACUAUUUAGAGGGUUUGAUUUUUCAGAUAAUCAAUACUUUAUUUGUUGUUUUAUUGCAGAAGGAGAAAAGUUCAUAUUUUGUUGCAUAUCGACAUAAACUUAGUGCUUCUUCUCUCUUAUAUUUGAUUUUCUUCUUGUCACCACCCUUUACUAGCAUGUACCUUGGCAAAAAUAAUGCAAGAUGAGGGAAAUCGUGUAGUUGUAGUAAAGAUGAAAAUUCAGUGUGACAGCUUAGAAGUAUGAUAAAUAGUGACAAUCAACAUGUGGUAUGUGGUAUAUACCGUUUUUUGGUAUAAGGGUUAAAAGGAACAUUUAUGACACUUCAAGGGUUGAAUCGGCCGAGUUAAAACUUCGAGGCCGCAUCAGUACAUACCCCCAAAGUUUGAGGAUUAAAAGGGCAUUAAGCUUUAGAAAAAAAUACACCUUUGUUUAUGCGGAGUAUAUUCACACAAAAUGAGUCUUCAUCGAAUUUGAUGUUCCAAUUGAAUUUUUUUUGUCCAAUGUCUCGAUAUUUGACUAUUUUCUCGAUAUAGUUAGUCCGGACGACGACACAAGUCAAUUACACCGAUAAAUAAGAAUGAAUUUCCAAAAGUGGAUCUGUAAUUAUGUUAAUUCACGGAUCAUAGGCUUCGUAAAAGAUCCAUGAGCAUUAUCCAGAGGCCUCAAACAUUGUGAUGCUAAUCCAGCCCACAUUGAAAGAUUAUUAGAAUAAUAUCAGGGAAAAGUUGUAAGGACAUGUGUCAUCAUAUGAUACGAUCCCAACCCGUCACCUCCACCCCUCUAUAUAUUUUACCUAUUGCUUCCCUACGGGCUAGGGCUACAGUCCAUUCUCUUUACAUAAAUUAUAAAGGGCGCUUCAGGUGGGUCAUUUGUGGCGAACAAGAUCGACCCUACCAGUUGUUUCGGUGAGUUCCGUCACUCUCAGAUCUCCAACUAGUAAUUUUUUCUCUUUAAGGAAUGUAGCUUUUUUUUUUUUUUUUUGUCACAAUGUAGCUUUUUUUUUAAUUGAGUUGUAUAUUACAUUUUUCGCUAGAUAUGACAAGAUGUCAUUUUAAUUUGUUCAUUUGGAAAACCAAAGGAAGGAAUUCAUAAUCGAAAAUCAUAUGGUCAUUAUCUUGAUUUAACAAUUAAUAUUUAAUAACAGUUUGUGUAUUGUCUUAACUCAUAAGAUUAAUAAUUACGUUUGCAAGCCUUACAACUGUCUCGAUUUGCUUGAGUGUUUCCCUCACACUGCCUCGAUUUUAUAUUUUCUGUUUGUGUUAUUCUACAAUUUUCAAGUCUCUAUGGUUUGCUUUACCCAAAAACUUCACAGUGUUUAUUGCUGAUUGUUAAAUAUACUGCAGUGCUUUUCUAUUGUGAAAAUAUAUUUGUAUUCUGUAAGCAAUUGAAUACGUUGUAGAGAUAUUUCGGGAAGUAACAUAACUUUGACAUUCUGAUGUAUAAGUCCUAGUCUAUAGAAUCUAUAAACCAUAAGUAUAUAAAUCUACUAAUGCGUCUAUCACACCAACCUGACAUAAGAAACAAGUAUAGAAGUAGCAAAAUUUUGGUCUUUGGAUUUCCUUUCAACAUUUCAGUUAGAAUUAAUAACUCCUAUUGAUUUCUUAUAUUCUCUGUACUUAUAUUUUUUUGUUACAAACAUGUAUUAUUUUUGUUGAAUAUAUAUUUAUAUAUAGAUUAUUCUUUUUUUACCCGCAAAACGUACUUGUAGCUAGCUCCGCAUGAUUGAAAGGUUUAUCAGCUUCUUGCUUUUGGAUCACUUCAUUUCUCCGUCUAUCUCAUAUGCUCUUUUGGGUUCUCAAACAGAAAAUUUUUCUGGAUUUAAACAUCACAUUUCAACCAAAGAAUGAGGGGACCCUAUUAUGCCUUUCAUGUCGUCUCGUGUUAAACCAUAAGGAAGUGCAUCCUUACAGUUGAGAGUAAGGGAGAUACGGAAUGUGAACAUCUUACUGUCCGCAGACCCAGUUUUCACUUGUGAUAUAUUGUGGUUUUCUGGCUUAUAUUGCAUUUGUUAUGUAUUUGUGUAAAUAGUCUUUGCUGUCAUGAGUUAAAAAUUUAUGUUAAUUUUAUGUUUGUGAUGCAAGUGAAAGAAAGUAAAGUAGCCAGAAAAAUUGUUUCCAUGCUGUCAAAAUAUUGGAUUAGUGAAAGAAAGUAAAGUAGUCAAAAUUUAUAGCAGUUGGGAUCUAUUUUAAAUCUUUUAACAGAUGUUCUAGACUUCGUUUCUUAAAAGUAUCCUUUAAUUUUACUUGACAUAUUUCUACAUACUGUUAACAGGAGCAGUACUUGUCUAAAAGCAGGACAAGGGGAGCCUCAAGUUAUUUCCGGUCAGACUUAAGAGCUUUUGAAGUAUCCCAGCGGGAUGGAAGUGGAAUGGAGACCUAAUUUUGGUGGGAUGGAAAAAGCAUUUAGCAUGAAUGUGAUGAUGCUAAUUGUUGGAUAUUUUACGGGACGCUCGAUAAGACACUGGUAACUUUUCUUUAAAUCGGCUCUAUAUCAGUAUUGUGAUCUGUAUCUUUAAGUUUUUUAGUCCUUGAUGUGAGGCAUCAAAUCUUUACUUUUCAUUAGUAGCAAUCGCAAGUUCGGCCGUUUGGGAGACUGAACCUGUGUUAAUUAUUAUUAUACCAAGGCUAAAUGUCCCAAGAAAUGCAUGUAUGCAGCAAAGCAAAGCAUAAGCAUAAGCAUCCCUUCAGAAAAUAAAAGGUUUUAUUCCAAGUGAAAAAUAUAUUAUACCAAACAUGGAUUUUCCUCCAAGUCAAAAGUCACAUAGAUUUAAUGUUCUUUACCUUUUACUUUCUGUUUUGAAUAGUUGCUUAUUCAAAUCUUAUGAACAACAAGUCUAUGCAGUAUGCAGUGCUUUGCAUUUGAAUUAGCUUCCAGCACACUUUAUUAUCUCCUUACUAUAAGCUGCAGAACUUUUGAAGCGCAGAUAGUGUGUUAUAACUUUGGGACAUUGUAUACUGUCUUUUUACUUAAUUCUGUUAUCUAUGUUAUUGUGAACUAUGAUUAGGCUUUGGCAUCUACUGGUAAAACCAAAACAAUCCUACUUUAGGUUCUCCUCUAAUUUUUGUCUUAUAUUCGUAAAAAUCUUGUAAUGGAUGACUCUAACCUGAAGAAGAUCUUUAAAGUAAUAUAUUCCAUUUCGCUUUGUAAUGCGUUCUGCAUUUCCC